UAUAAUCAGGAAAUGUAGAAUUCAACCAUUCAAGACGUUCGUCAUUAAUAUGUAUAUAUGGCGCUACUGCACUAUCCAGACAACGAAUGUAAUCAUCUUUUCUUGAGACGUUAUGAAUUCUGAAGAAAUAAUACAUAUUCUCCAUAAACCGUAAAGAAGAUGUCACAGCUGGAGAAAAAAUUUGUAUUGCACGUAAAACAUUCAUUUUUUUGAAAUUAGAAGGAUAGAGAUGUUUUUUAGUAGGAAGAUGAAAUUGUGCCUUGGGAGGAACUCAUGUCAUGUCGAG
Molecule: long non-coding RNA, 286 nt
Organism: Zophobas morio
Lineage: Eukaryota; Metazoa; Arthropoda; Insecta; Coleoptera; Tenebrionidae
Exons: 3
Source: RefSeq, a predicted model, not a curated record